UCGAAGGUGGGACCAGCGAUUGGGACGAAGUCGUAACAAGGUAGCCGUACCGGAAGGUGCGGCUGGAUCACCUCCUUUCUAAGGAG
Molecule: ribosomal RNA, 86 nt
Filed under: Streptomyces sp. GKU 895
Lineage: Bacteria; Bacillati; Actinomycetota; Actinomycetes; Kitasatosporales; Streptomycetaceae
Description: partial 16S ribosomal RNA
Rfam family: Bacterial small subunit ribosomal RNA
Source: RNAcentral